GAAGAAGACAAUGGCCUCAGUAAGAUAUACAUAAGAUGAUCUUCUAGGCAGUAAUACUAGUGACCAUGGCAGAGAGAACUUGACUGGACUUGUGUUUCAUGCAAUGUAAGAAAAGCAGGCACAGCAAAAGAGAACCCACACUCCCCCACAUCCCCUGCAAUGUAACAAAUAACAUAAGGAAUGCUUGAUUACCCACCAGCUUAAGAUAGAAACCAUCAC
RNAcentral lists this long non-coding RNA (219 nucleotides) under Homo sapiens (human). Its description in RNAcentral is "HSALNT0015404". The record is from RNAcentral. Lineage: Eukaryota; Metazoa; Chordata; Mammalia; Primates; Hominidae.